RNAcentral lists this ribosomal RNA (253 nucleotides) under uncultured bacterium. RNAcentral describes it as "partial 16S ribosomal RNA". It matches the Rfam family "Bacterial small subunit ribosomal RNA", at positions 524 to 776 of the family's 1533-position model. The record is from RNAcentral.
UACGUAGGGCGCAAGCGUUGUCCGGAAUCAUUGGGCGUAAAGAGCUCGUAGGUGGUCUGUUACGUCUGCUGUGAAAACCUAGGGCUUAACCCUGGGCCUGCAGUGGAUACGGGCAGACUAGAGGUAGGUAGGGGAGAAUGGAAUUCCCGGUGUAGCGGUGAAAUGCGCAGAUAUCGGGAGGAACACCGGUGGCGAAGGCGGGUCUCUGGGCCGAUAUUGACGCUGAGGAGCGAAAGCGUGGGGAGCGAACAGG